AUACGGAGGAUCCGAGCGUUAUCCGGAUUUAUUGGGUUUAAAGGGAGCGUAGGUGGACAGUUAAGUCAGUUGUGAAAGUUUGCGGCUCAACCGUAAAAUUGCAGUUGAUACUGGCUGUCUUGAGUACAGUAGAGGUGGGCGGAAUUCGGGGUGUAGCGGUGAAAUGCUUAGAUAUCACGAAGAACUCCGAUUGCGAAGGCAGCUCACUGGACUGCAACUGACACUGAUGCUCGAAAGUGUGGGUAUCAAACAGGAUUAGAUACCCUGGUAGUCCACACAGUAAACGAUGAAUACUCGCUGUUUGCGAUAUACAGUAAGCGGCCAAGCGAAAGCAUUAAGUAUUCCACCUGGGGAGUACGCCGGCAACGGUGAAACUCAAAUGAAUUGGCGGGG
RNAcentral lists this ribosomal RNA (393 nucleotides) under uncultured bacterium. RNAcentral's name for it is "partial 16S ribosomal RNA". It matches the Rfam family "Bacterial small subunit ribosomal RNA", at positions 523 to 918 of the family's 1533-position model. The record is from RNAcentral.